Molecule: transfer RNA, 72 nt
Filed under: Dipodomys ordii (Ord's kangaroo rat)
Lineage: Eukaryota; Metazoa; Chordata; Mammalia; Rodentia; Heteromyidae
Rfam family: tRNA
About the family: Transfer RNA (tRNA) molecules are approximately 80 nucleotides in length. Their secondary structure includes four short double-helical elements and three loops (D, anti-codon, and T loops).
Source: Rfam by way of RNAcentral
GGGAAGGUGGCUCAGUGGUAGAGUGCUUGCCUUGUAUGCCUGAGGCCCUGGGUUCGAUUCCUCAGCACCCCA